RNAcentral lists this long non-coding RNA (256 nucleotides) under Oryza brachyantha (malo sina). Its description in RNAcentral is "long non-coding RNA (OBRA_LNC002339)". The record is from RNAcentral. Lineage: Eukaryota; Viridiplantae; Streptophyta; Magnoliopsida; Poales; Poaceae.
CGGCGGCGUCGACGACGGUCAUCCUUGAUCGACGACGAAAACAACAAUCGUACGUUCACCACACUAGCUAGCACUAGCAGAGAAGAAGAAAAAGUUUCGAGUAGUCUUCCUGGCCGGAGGAAAUGAGUUCGGUAGGUUUAAUUUGGUGGCGCGAGGGGCUCCGAUUCUUUUCCUGGGAGGAGAUGUGUUGGGGCGUGGCGCGGAAUUUAUAGCCACAGGACAACGAGACGGACGGGCACCGCGUGUGUCGUGUGUG